GAUGAACGCUAGCGGCAGGCUUAAUACAUGCAAGUCGAGGGGCAGCAUAGGUAGCAAUACUUGAUGGCGACCGGCAAACGGGUGCGGAACACGUACGCAACCUUCCUUUAAGUGGAGAAUAGCCCGGGGAAACCCGGAUUAAUACUCCGUAACAUUUUGAAGUGGCAUCACUUUACAAUUAUAGAUUUAUCGCUUAAAGAUGGGCGUGCGCCUGAUUAGGCAGUUGGCGGGGUAACGGCCCACCAAACCUACGAUCAGUAACUGGCGUGAGAGCGCG
RNAcentral lists this ribosomal RNA (277 nucleotides) under uncultured bacterium. RNAcentral describes it as "partial 16S ribosomal RNA". It matches the Rfam family "Bacterial small subunit ribosomal RNA", at positions 28 to 302 of the family's 1533-position model. The record is from RNAcentral.